GGAACGGUGGCCGAUUGGCAAGGCUCCCGCUUGGAAUGCGGAGGACUGGCGAGUCCAGAGCAGGUUCGAUUCCUGCCCGUUCCG
This 84-nucleotide transfer RNA is filed under the name Deltaproteobacteria bacterium. Its description in RNAcentral is "tRNA-Ser". It matches the Rfam family "tRNA". Rfam says of the family: Transfer RNA (tRNA) molecules are approximately 80 nucleotides in length. Lineage: Bacteria; Pseudomonadati; Myxococcota; Myxococcia. The record is from RNAcentral.